RNAcentral lists this ribosomal RNA (253 nucleotides) under uncultured bacterium. Its description in RNAcentral is "partial 16S ribosomal RNA". It matches the Rfam family "Bacterial small subunit ribosomal RNA", at positions 524 to 776 of the family's 1533-position model. The record is from RNAcentral.
UACGGAGGAGGCAAGCGUUAUCCGGAAUUAUUGGGCGUAAAGCGUCCGUAGGUGGUUUAGUAAGUCUGCUGUUAAAGCGCGGGGCUUAACUCCGUAUCGGCAGUGGAAACUACUAGACUAGAGUGUGGUAGGGGUAGAGGGAAUUCCCAGUGUAGCGGUGAAAUGCGUAGAUAUUGGGAAGAACACCGGUGGCGAAGGCGCUCUACUGGGCCAUAACUGACACUGAUGGACGAAAGCUAGGGGAGCGAAUGGG